UACGUAGGGUGCGAGCGUUGUCCGGAAUUAUUGGUCGUAAAGAGCUCGUAGGCGGUGUGUCACGUCGGCCGUGAAAACCUGCAGCUUAACUGUGGGCGUGCGGUCGAUACGGGCAUCACUGGAGUUCGGCAAGGGAGACUGGAAUUCCUGGUGUAGCGGUGAAAUGCGCAGAUAUCAGGAGGAACACCGGUGGCGAAGGCGGGUCUCUGGGCCGAUACUGACGCUGAGGAGCGAAAGCGUGGGGAGCAAACAGG
Molecule: ribosomal RNA, 254 nt
Filed under: uncultured bacterium
Lineage: Bacteria
Description: partial 16S ribosomal RNA
Rfam family: Bacterial small subunit ribosomal RNA
Source: RNAcentral